RNAcentral lists this unclassified non-coding RNA (476 nucleotides) under Hevea brasiliensis (rubber tree). The record is from RNAcentral. Lineage: Eukaryota; Viridiplantae; Streptophyta; Magnoliopsida; Malpighiales; Euphorbiaceae.
UUUUCAUCAUAUUCAGCAAAUUCACCUCCAGACAAAUCAAUAUCUUCGUAUUUAGUCCCUGCAGCAGACUCAGCUUUCCACCCACUACCAAAUACAAAACCCUCAGGUUCAUAGCCUCUGCAGUCAAACAUCAUCAAUGGGGCAUAUUUCCCUGUAUCACUGAUUUCCUGGGUAAGCAGCUUACCCUUGCCGGGCACCAUCAACACAGUUCCCUCCCUCCCACAAAACUUGCACUUCUGAACAAGAUUAGCGGUUCCCUUGCUUGCUGGAACAGGAACAGUCUCAUUCAAGGUCACACAUGUUUCUUUCUGGCUCAACUCUCCACACCUUCCACAUUUCACCUUGAAGAAGUAAGGGAAAGAAGGAUCGUCGCAACCGCCCUGAGGCUGGAGGCUGGUGAUGUUCUCGAGAUCGGCGGUUAUCAUUAGCAUGUAGUUCACCAUUUCCACUGGUUUUAGCGUCAAAAUCAAGCUUCC